Molecule: ribosomal RNA, 1198 nt
Filed under: Mucor circinelloides
Lineage: Eukaryota; Fungi; Mucoromycota; Mucoromycetes; Mucorales; Mucoraceae
Description: SSU rRNA
Rfam family: Eukaryotic small subunit ribosomal RNA
Source: RNAcentral
GGAACUGCAUGUCUAGUAUAGCACUUUAUAUUGUGGAACUGGCGAAGGGCUCAUUAAUUCAUUUACGAUCUUCUUGACAUAUUCUUUACCACGUGGACCACCGUGGUAUUUCUAGAGCUAACACGCGCAAAACCUCCAAACUCAAAAGGGGGUGCACUUAUUAGAUAAAGCCAUGCUGGGUAAAACCCCUUGCCCUUGGUGAUUCACUUAACUUAACCGGAUCGCAUGGCCCUGUGAUGGCGACAUCCCACUCGAUUUUCUGCCCUAUCAUGGUUGAGAUGUGGACAAAGGCUUACGAUGCCGACAACGGGUAACGGGGAAUUAAGGUUCGAUUCCGGACAGGGAACCUGAGAACCGGCUACCACGUCCGAGGAAGGCGCCCAGCGCGCAAAUUACCCACUCCCGACGGGGGGGAGUAGUGACAAUGAAUAACAGUGCUUGGCCUUUACGGUCUUGCAAUUGGAAUGAUUACAAUUUAUAUCCCUUAACCAAGAUCAAUUGAAGGGCGAGUCCAGUGCCCGCAGCCGCUCCAACUCCAACUCCGAUAACGUAAAUUGAAGUUGUUGCAGUUCUAACAUCCGAACUCUGAUUUUGGUCUUUAGAUGAGGUGGCCUGGUCUUCAUUGAUCAAGCUCGCUUUUAUCUUCUACUUUAAUCUCUGGUUAUGCUAUGAAUAGCUUCGGUUGUUUAUACUCUCUAUGCAAAUGAUUACCAGUGAUCAAAUCAGAGUGUUUAAAGCAUGCUUUCACACGUGAAUGUGUUAUCAUGCAAUAAUGAAAUAUGACUUUAGUCCCUAGAUCGUCGGUUCGAGAACUUAAGUUAUGAUGAAUACGAAACGGUUGGGGACAUUUAUAUUUAGGUCCCCUAGAUGUUGAUGUUCACGGACUGCCGCGAAAACAAUCUACUGCGAAAGCUUUCGAUACUCGAACGUUUUAAUUGAUCGAGGUCUAAAAUUAUCGGAUCCAGUACUAUUAUUUACGUCAUAUAUCGUCAACUAAAGCUAUGACGACGAUACAUUGAUCAUCGUUUAUGAUGACUAGCUCAACAAUCAUAGCUUAAUGUAAUCUUGUUGGAUCUGGGCGGGAGGACUGGAACCUAAGCUGAAUGCUGAAGGAAUUGCACCGAGGUGCAACAGGAGCGUAACUGCGCCUCACUUUGAUACUCACAGGUACCUCACCCAGAUUCGGACGAUAGUAAAG